This is a non-coding RNA of Lactuca sativa (garden lettuce), 534 nucleotides long. The record is from RefSeq and is a predicted model, not a curated record. NCBI's taxonomy places the organism in Eukaryota, Viridiplantae, Streptophyta, Magnoliopsida, Asterales, Asteraceae.
UGUAAGACCCUCCAUAGUCUAGGGGGCUAUAUUGUAAAUUAUGUGUGUCGUUUUGCAAUCAAACGAUUGCAACCCAAUUAUGUAAUCGGCUCUCUUGAGCCUAUAAAUAGGGCCUUCGCCCAUAUGAAAUAAACAAGUUAAGUUUGAGUGUUUAAGACUUGAGUUGAUCUCAAAGUUUUUUCUCUGUUGAAAUAGUUUGUCUAUUUCUGAAUAGCAGAGCCCUAUCCAAACUAUCCACAUAAACAUUCAAUUAUUCAACAUAAUCCAUCGUUAAUCCAUCUCAACGCAUCAUUCAGGGUUAAGAAGAGGUUGCAAAAGAGGGUGGUCGUGAAUUUUCUCAUAAGGGUAAAGGGACGUUAGAUUGAUUGGAGAACAAAGAGGUUGUGGGGUUACAUACACAUUAUUGAAUCAACGGUUUUAUUUGCUCAUUCAUGAACUGCUAAGGGACUAUAGUUUUUUUUUUUUAAUGUUUUUCAUUAUUAUUUGUGUAUGCUAUAUCUUUGAUAUGGUAUGGUAGGCUUUGAAUUUGGUUUC